This 399-nucleotide ribosomal RNA is filed under the name uncultured bacterium. Its description in RNAcentral is "partial 16S ribosomal RNA". It matches the Rfam family "Bacterial small subunit ribosomal RNA", at positions 338 to 754 of the family's 1533-position model. The record is from RNAcentral.
CCUACGGGAGGCAGCAGUAGGGAAUAUUGCUCAAUGGGGGAAACCCUGAAGCAGCAACGCCGCGUGGAGGAUGAAGGUUUUCGGAUUGUAAACUCCUUUUGGUAGAGAAGAGAAUGACGGUAUCUAACGAAUAAGCACCGGCUAACUCCGUGCCAGCAGCCGCGGUAAUACGGAGGGUGCAAGCGUUACUCGGAAUCCCUGGGCGUAAAGAGCGCGUAGGCGGGAUAGCAAGUCAGAUGUGAAAUCCUAUGGCUUAACCAUAGAACUGCAUUUGAAACUGUUAUUCUAGAGUAUGGGAGAGGUAGGUGGAAUUCUUGGUGUCGCGGUCAAAUCCGUAGAGAUCACGCGGAAUACUCAUUGCGAAGGCGACCUGCUAGAACAUAACUGACGCUGAUGCGC